UACGUAGGUGACCAGCGUUGUCCGGAUUUACUGGGCGUAAAGAGCGCGCAGGCGGUCGUUCAAGUCGAGUGUGAAAGCCCCCGGCUCAACUGGGGAGGGUCACUCGAUACUGAUCGACUUGAAGGCAGGAGAGGGAAGCGGAAUUCCUGGUGUAGCGGUGGAAUGCGCAGAUAUCAGGAGGAACACCGAUGGCGAAGGCAGGUCACUGGGCCGCAACUGACGCUGAGGAGCGAAAGCAUGGGGAGCGAACAGG
This 253-nucleotide ribosomal RNA is filed under the name uncultured bacterium. RNAcentral's name for it is "partial 16S ribosomal RNA". It matches the Rfam family "Bacterial small subunit ribosomal RNA", at positions 524 to 776 of the family's 1533-position model. The record is from RNAcentral.